UGGCUCAGAACGAACGCUGGCGGCAUGCCUAAUACAUGCAAGUCGAACGCUUGGGAGCAAUCCCAAGAGUGGCGGACGGGUGAGUAACGCGUGGGAACCUGCCCUGUUGUGGGGGAUAACCGAGGGAAACUUCGGCUAAUACCGCAUGCGCCCGCGGAGUUGAUCUGCGGAGAAAGAUUUAUCGCAGCAGGAGGGGCCCGCGUCGGAUUAGCUGGUUGGCGGGGUAACGGCCCACCAAGGCGAUGAUCAAGUAGCUGGUCUGAGAGGAUGAUCAGCCACACUGGGACUGUUUUCUCGGCCCAGAGAAAUACGGGAGGCA
This 319-nucleotide ribosomal RNA is filed under the name uncultured Alphaproteobacteria bacterium. RNAcentral's name for it is "bacterial SSU rRNA". It matches the Rfam family "Bacterial small subunit ribosomal RNA", at positions 20 to 353 of the family's 1533-position model. The record is from RNAcentral. Lineage: Bacteria; Pseudomonadati; Pseudomonadota; Alphaproteobacteria.